RNAcentral lists this non-coding RNA (965 nucleotides) under Meadia roseni. RNAcentral's name for it is "12S ribosomal RNA". It matches the Rfam family "Bacterial small subunit ribosomal RNA". Lineage: Eukaryota; Metazoa; Chordata; Actinopteri; Anguilliformes; Synaphobranchidae. The record is from RNAcentral.
CAAAAGCCUGGUCCUGACUUUAACGUCAGUUACGGCCCAAUUUACACAUGCAAGUAUCCGCACCCCCGUGAGAAUGCCCUUCAUCCCCCAGUACGAGGAGAAGGGGCCGGCAUCAGGCACACCCAACUGGUAGCCCAAGACGCCUUGCUUAGCCACACCCCCAAGGGGACCCAGCAGUGAUAGACAUUAAGCCAUGAGCGAAAGCUUGACUUAAUUAAGGCCCAAACCAAUAGAGCCGGUAAAACUCGUGCCAGCCACCGCGGUUAUACGAGAGGCUCAAAUUGACACUUUUCGGCGUAAAGUGUGACUAGAGAACAAAACACCCUAAAGCCAAACACCCCCUAAGCUGUCAUACGCAACUGGGUUUAUGAAGCUCCAUAACGAAAGUAGCUUUAAUUAAUAAAUCUUGAACUCACGACAGUUAAGAAACAAACUGGGAUUAGAUACCCCACUAUGCUUAACCAUAAACAACGAUGACAAUAUACAAACAUCAUCCGCCAGGGGACUACGAGCGCCAGCUUAAAACCCAAAGGACUUGGCGGUGCCUUAAACCCACCUAGAGGAGCCUGUUCUAUAACCGAUAACCCCCGUUAAACCUCACCACUCCUUGUCAACCCCGCCUAUAUACCGCCGUCGCCAGCUUACCUUAUGAAAGCACGAUAGUAAGCCAAAUGGGCACCACCCAAAACGUCAGGUCGAGGUGUAGCGAAUGGAGUGGGAAGAAAUGGGCUACAUUUUCUGACCCAGAAUAUUACGAAAAGUGACAUGAAAACAACACUAAUGAAGGUGGAUUUAGCAGUAAAAGGAAAAUAGAGUGUUCCUUUGAAGCCGGCUCUGAGGCGCGUACACACCGCCCGUCACUCUCCUCAAAAAGAAACACAAAACAUCUAUAAACCCCAAAACACAGAAAGAGGAGACAAGUCGUAACAUGGUAAGUGUACCGGAAGGUGCACUUGGAUAAAACU